RNAcentral lists this ribosomal RNA (414 nucleotides) under Culicoides pseudopallidipennis. RNAcentral's name for it is "partial 16S ribosomal RNA". The record is from RNAcentral. Lineage: Eukaryota; Metazoa; Arthropoda; Insecta; Diptera; Ceratopogonidae.
UUGACCGUGGCAAGGUAGCAUAAUCUAUUGUCUUUUAAUUAAAGGCUUGUAUGAAUGGUUGGAUGAGAUAUCAACUAUUUUUAUUUUAAUAAAAAUGAAUUUUAAUUUUUAGUAAAAAUGCUAAAAUAAAAAAAUUAGACGAGAAGACCCUAUAAAUCUUUAUUUUUAAAAGAUAAUAUUAAUUUUGUAAAUUAUUAAAUAUUUAUUUUUAAAAAAUUUAAUUGGGAGGAUAAUGAAAUUUAAUAAACUUUUAUUUUAUUUUAUAAAUAUAAUUAAAUUAAUGAAUAUAUUAUAAUGUUUAAAAAAUUAAGUUACUUUAGGGAUAACAGCGUAAUUAUUUUAAAGAGUUCUUAUCGAUAAAAUAGUUUGCGACCUCGAUGUUGAAUUAAGAAUUAAUGAGGCGCAAAAGUGACU